CCUACGGGUGGCAGCCGUGAGGAAUAUUGGUCCAUGGUCGAGAUCCUGAACCAGCCAAGCCGCGUGAGGGAAGACGGCCCUGUGGGUUGUAAACCUCUUUUGUCGGGGAACCAAACCGUGGACGUGUCCCCGUCUGCGUGUACCCUAAGAAAAAGCAUCGGCUAACUCCGUGCCAGCCGCCGCGGUAAUACGGAGGAUGCGAGCGUUAUCCGGAUUUGUUGGGUUUAAAGGGUUCGUAGGCGGUCCUUUCAGUCCGGGGUAAAAUUGCGGGGCUAAACCCAGUCGAGCAGUUGAAACUGGCAGACUUGAGUUGGAGAGAAGUAGGCGGAAUGCGCGGUGUAGCGGUGAAAUGCAUAGAUAUCGCGCAGAACUCCGAUUGCGAAGGCAGCGUACCGGAGCCAGACUGACGCUGAGGCACGAAAGCGUGGGGAUCGAACAGGAUUAGAUACCCCGGUAGUC
This 459-nucleotide ribosomal RNA is filed under the name uncultured bacterium. RNAcentral describes it as "partial 16S ribosomal RNA". It matches the Rfam family "Bacterial small subunit ribosomal RNA", at positions 338 to 795 of the family's 1533-position model. The record is from RNAcentral.